RNAcentral lists this transfer RNA (71 nucleotides) under Trigonopoma sp. LR12861. Its description in RNAcentral is "tRNA-Val". RNAcentral also lists the same sequence under 1 other name. Lineage: Eukaryota; Metazoa; Chordata; Actinopteri; Cypriniformes; Danionidae. The record is from RNAcentral.
CGGAGUGUAACUAAUUAGUUCAGUAUCUCAUUUACACCGUGAAUAAAUCCGUGCAAAUCGGAUCGCUCUGA